Molecule: long non-coding RNA, 304 nt
Organism: Stylophora pistillata
Lineage: Eukaryota; Metazoa; Cnidaria; Anthozoa; Scleractinia; Pocilloporidae
Source: RefSeq, a predicted model, not a curated record
ACCGUACAAACCGUACAAACCGUACAAGCCGUACAAGCCGUACAAACCGUACAAACCCUACAAACCGUACAAACCACGCAGACGCUAUCGACGCUAUCGACGCUAUCGUCGUAAAUCUCGCGAUUAACGAAGACCAAUUCAGUGAUGGAAUGAACAAACGCUUGGUGAAGGUCUUGAUCAAUACGCACCUUAAAAAUGCAUGGAUAACUUAGGACAACUCAGGACAAGACAGCUUGUGUUAUUUUUAAAAUAGAAUGGGAAGUAAUGCAGAAAUAUUGAAAUAAAAAGUUGUAAUUUGCUUAAA